This 447-nucleotide ribosomal RNA is filed under the name uncultured bacterium. Its description in RNAcentral is "bacterial SSU rRNA". It matches the Rfam family "Bacterial small subunit ribosomal RNA", at positions 355 to 825 of the family's 1533-position model. The record is from RNAcentral.
UGGGGAAUCUUGGACAAUGGGCGCAAGCCUGAUCCAGCCAUGCCGCGUGAGUGACGAAGGUCUUCGGAUUGUAAAGCUCUUUUGGCGGGGACGAUAAUGACGGUACCCGCAGAAUAAGCCCCGGCUAACUUCGUGCCAGCAGCCGCGGUAAUACGAAGGGGGCUAGCGUUGUUCGGAAUUACUGGGCGUAAAGCGCACGUAGGCGGAUUUGUAAGUCAGGGGUGAAAUCCCGGGGCUCAACCUCGGAACUGCCUCUGAUACUGCGAAUCUCGAGUCCGAUAGAGGUGAGUGGAAUUCCUAGUGUAGAGGUGAAAUUCGUAGAUAUUAGGAAGAACACCAGUGGCGAAGGCGGCUCACUGGAUCGGUACUGACGCUGAGGUGCGAAAGCGUGGGGAGCAAACAGGAUUAGAUACCCAUGUAGUCCCUGAGCGGGCUGGCAAGGCGCAU